RNAcentral lists this microRNA precursor (91 nucleotides) under Canis lupus familiaris (dog). RNAcentral describes it as "mir-8799 microRNA precursor family". It matches the Rfam family "mir-8799 microRNA precursor family". The record is from Rfam by way of RNAcentral. RNAcentral also lists the same sequence under 1 other name. Lineage: Eukaryota; Metazoa; Chordata; Mammalia; Carnivora; Canidae.
AGGGGGAGGUUGGAUUCUGGGCUGUGUCCCUGGCGCCUUGUGCUCCGGUGCCUGUACUUUUGGAUUCCCGCUCCCAGCCCUGCAGCCGCCU